Molecule: unclassified non-coding RNA, 146 nt
Filed under: fungal sp.
Lineage: Eukaryota; Fungi
Description: partial internal transcribed spacer region
Rfam family: Eukaryotic small subunit ribosomal RNA (bases 1-46)
Source: RNAcentral
AAGUCGUAACAAGGUUUCCGUAGGUGAACCUGCGGAAGGAUCAUUGCAAAAAGGGAGAGAGAAAUUUGUUGGAACGCGAAGAAAUAGCUUAUUGACAACUACAUUUAUUACUUUUACAACUCUCCACAAUGGAUCUCUGGGCUCUU